UGUUCUAGCAAGUGUUGUCCAAUGAGAAAAGCCAAGGGGGAGGCAAAACGACAGAAAAAUAAAAUAUAGUAGCACAAUGAUAACAUCAAAGAUAUCCUAAGGGUCCUAUUGUUAAUUUCUAGUUUUAUAGCACAUCCAAAGCGAGGAUAAAGUGGCAGCGUAAGCAUUUGUUUUUGUUUCCCAAAUAAACUGCAAACACAGCUAUUUCUCUUUUGGCCAAAGAAAAAGUUGAAGUGACAAAAGCCAUGGUGCUGAACUCUUCGUUUCUCCUCUACGAGAUUUCUUUUCCAUGUAAUUCUUCACUUACACAUUAUUACUGUUAUAACUACAGCUUUUUAGUAUAGAAACGAUAAAUUAGAAAUUAUGGAUUUUUUUUAUGUUCGUUCACUUUCUUGGAUGUGGUUGAGGGAAAUGUUCAAUUUGACACCGGGUAUUUACGCCAAAUCAAUAGAAAUUUGAUCUAUAAUUGUAUAUAGAAUUAUGUUGCUUAAUCAUGAUUAAUUAAUGCAUGUUUUUACUUCACCAAAUUACUUUUGACCAUGAUAAGUAAAAUUGGUUUGGUGUAAAUACCGACUAAGUAUUUACCAUAGUACUCCCUCCGUCCCAAUCUAUGCUAAGUUAUUUGAC
Molecule: long non-coding RNA, 627 nt
Filed under: Nicotiana benthamiana
Lineage: Eukaryota; Viridiplantae; Streptophyta; Magnoliopsida; Solanales; Solanaceae
Description: long non-coding RNA (NBEN_LNC032927)
Source: RNAcentral